UUUGCUGGCUUCCUUUAGUGGAUGGUCUGCUCCCUUUAAAAGCAUUAGUGGGAUCCUUUGUGGACGGUCACUUGGUGUGAUAAUUAUCUACGCCGUUUGUACUGUGAAGCAAAACUUGUGGGAACCUGCUUAUAACCGUCUGUAAUGGACAAUUUUGAACCUUUGACCUCAAAUCAGGUAGGACUACCCGCUGAACUUAA
This 200-nucleotide unclassified non-coding RNA is filed under the name soil metagenome. RNAcentral describes it as "partial contains internal transcribed spacer 2 and large subunit ribosomal RNA". The record is from RNAcentral.